RNAcentral lists this ribosomal RNA (468 nucleotides) under uncultured bacterium. RNAcentral's name for it is "partial 16S ribosomal RNA". It matches the Rfam family "Bacterial small subunit ribosomal RNA", at positions 28 to 507 of the family's 1533-position model. The record is from RNAcentral.
GACGAACGCUGGCGGCGUGCUUAACACAUGCAAGUCGAACGGAAAGGCCCUGCUUUUGUGGGGUGCUCGAGUGGCGAACGGGUGAGUAACACGUGAGUAACCUGCCCUUGACUUUGGGAUAACUUCAGGAAACUGGGGCUAAUACCGGAUAGGAGCUCCUGCUGCAUGGUGGGGGUUGGAAAGUUUCGGCGGUUGGGGAUGGACUCGCGGCUUAUCAGCUUGUUGGUGGGGUAGUGGCUUACCAAGGCUUUGACGGGUAGCCGGCCUGAGAGGGUGACCGGCCACAUUGGGACUGAGAUCCGGCCCAGACUCCUACGGGGGGCAGCAGUGGGGAAUAUUUCACAAUGGGCGGAAGCCUGAUGCAGCAACGCCUCGUGCGGGAUGACGGCCUUCGGGUUGUAAACCGCUUUCGCCUGUGACGAAGCGUGAGUGACGGUAAUGGGUAAAGAAGCACCGGCUAACUACGUG